Molecule: ribosomal RNA, 721 nt
Filed under: Escherichia coli
Lineage: Bacteria; Pseudomonadati; Pseudomonadota; Gammaproteobacteria; Enterobacterales; Enterobacteriaceae
Description: partial 23S ribosomal RNA
Rfam family: Bacterial large subunit ribosomal RNA
Source: RNAcentral
CACCCUUUAAUGUUUGAUGUUCUAACGUUGACCCGUGAUCCGGGUUGCGGACAGUGUCUGGUGGGUAGUUUGACUGGGGCGGUCUCCUCCUAAAGAGUAACGGAGGAGCACGAAGGUUGGCUAAUCCUGGUCGGACAUCAGGAGGUUAGUGCAAUGGCAUAAGCCAGCUUGACUGCGAGCGUGACGGCGCGAGCAGGUGCGAAAGCAGGUCAUAGUGAUCCGGUGGUUCUGAAUGGAAGGGCCAUCGCUCAACGGAUAAAAGGUACUCCGGGGAUAACAGGCUGAUACCGCCCAAGAGUUCAUAUCGACGGCGGUGUUUGGCACCUCGAUGUCGGCUCAUCACAUCCUGGGGCUGAAGUAGGUCCCAAGGGUAUGGCUGUUCGCCAUUUAAAGUGGUACGCGAGCUGGGUUUAGAACGUCGUGAGACAGUUCGGUCCCUAUCUGCCGUGGGCGCUGGAGAACUGAGGGGGGCUGCUCCUAGUACGAGAGGACCGGAGUGGACGCAUCACUGGUGUUCGGGUUGUCAUGCCAAUGGCACUGCCCGGUAGCUAAAUGCGGAAGAGAUAAGUGCUGAAAGCAUCUAAGCACGAAACUUGCCCCGAGAUGAGUUCUCCCUGACCCUUUAAGGGUCCUGAAGGAACGUUGAAGACGACGACGUUGAUAGGCCGGGUGUGUAAGCGCAGCGAUGCGUUGAGCUAACCGGUACUAAUGAACCGUGAGG